This 402-nucleotide ribosomal RNA is filed under the name uncultured prokaryote. RNAcentral's name for it is "bacterial SSU rRNA". It matches the Rfam family "Bacterial small subunit ribosomal RNA", at positions 355 to 774 of the family's 1533-position model. The record is from RNAcentral.
UGGGGAAUAUUGCACAAUGGGGGAAACCCUGAUGCAGCAACGCCGCGUGAGUGAUGACGGCCUUCGGGUUGUAAAGCUCUGUCUUCAGGGACGAUAAUGACGGUACCUGAGGAGGAAGCCACGGCUAACUACGUGCCAGCAGCCGCGGUAAUACGUAGGGGGCAAGCGUUGUCCGGAAUGACUGGGCGUAAAGGGCGCGUAGACGGUUUUUUAAGUCUGGAGUGAAAGUCCUGCUUUCAAGGUGGGAAUUGCUUUGGAGACUGGAAGACUUGAGUGCGGAAGAGGUAAGUGGAAUUCCCAGUGUAGCGGUGAAAUGCGUAGAGAUCGGGAAGAACACCAGUGGCGAAGGCGACUUACUGGGCCGUAACUGACGUUGAGGCGCGAAAGCGUGGGGAGCAAACA